UGUUGCACAGCUGUUCCAGGAGGCUCUCUAGACAGCUGCAUUCCACAGGGCCCUGGGCUGGAACCCGGAGUAGAGGGCGGGCCCGGGUUCCCCCCAAAUCCUCCCAACUCCUGGUCAGACACAGGAGUCAUCGACCUGGACUGUAAAUUCAGAAAAACGGCAAAGCUGAGGGCUGCCGUGAAGCUCCAAGGCGAGCAAAUCCGCCAAUAAGCGCAAGACCCACCAAGGUAGAGCAGGAACUUUGUCACAAAUAAUAUUAGUAUCCUCCUGGU
This is a long non-coding RNA of Dermochelys coriacea (leatherback sea turtle), 272 nucleotides long. RefSeq lists it as uncharacterized. The record is from RefSeq and is a predicted model, not a curated record. NCBI's taxonomy places the organism in Eukaryota, Metazoa, Chordata, Testudines, Dermochelyidae. The transcript is spliced from 4 exons.